Long non-coding RNA from Leucoraja erinaceus (little skate), 5126 nucleotides. RefSeq lists it as uncharacterized. NCBI's taxonomy places the organism in Eukaryota, Metazoa, Chordata, Chondrichthyes, Rajiformes, Rajidae. The transcript is spliced from 4 exons. The record is from RefSeq and is a predicted model, not a curated record.
CAAUCAUCGCGCGCGGGCGGUGCGUUGAUCAUUCAAAAGUGAGCACGCGCGGAGAGGUGCACGCGGUGACGAACAACAUUCCCCGCCCGGCAUCUCCCCCUCCCUCCGCCCAACCGUAACCGCUGAAGUCACUUUAAGAGGAUUGAAAUGGAGAGAGUACAUUGCAUAAGAUGGGGAUCUUCAGGCACCACUCCUCUGUAGUCAAGAAAAAUUGAAAGAUACAGAGGGUUAAUGUCCACAUUUCUUAAAUAAGCCAAUGAAAUUCACCGAUCAGCACCGGCGACAACCUACGACAACCUAUGACAAUCUACGACCUCCUGGCAACCCACUACCACUGCAUCUAGGUCACGAGAAUUCUCGCCACUCUCCAUGGCGUCAAAAUUCAGGUAGCCGCUAAUUUUUCAACAUUGGUUUUGUCUCUUUGCACUAUUAUUGUUUGUUUUUAUGUGUAUGUAUAAUAUAUACAUGUUGAAAAAUUAGUGGCGACCAGAAUGAAGCCGCUACUAGUUACGAGAAUGUGGGAACUACUCACCACCAUGCAGGCGACACCCUGGGAACCUCCGGUGAGCAUGUGGUGACCUCAUAGUCUCUUGUAGUCGCCUGAAAAAUCGCCUAAGUGGGACGGGCCCAUUAGAAUGCACUGAAAACUUGUCUUAUGAAAACAUAUUGCCUGGUUGCAUCACGGCCUGGUUUGGCAAUUUGAACACCCAGGAGCGAAGAAGACUGCAAAAAGUGGUGAACACUGCACAGACCAUCACAGGUUCUGACCUCACCUCCGUCAAAGUGGUUGCUGCCUCAAAAAGGUACUCAGCAUCAUCAGAGACCCACACCACCUUGGCCACACACUCAUUUCAUUCCUGCCAUCGGGAAGAAACUAAAACACCUGAAAACUAUAACGUCUAGAUUCAGGACAACUUCUUCCAUGCAGUCAUCAGGCUAUUAAACACUACAACCUCCAUAUAAGCUCUGAACUAUAUAGACUUGGGGGCAUUGGUUUUGUCUCUUUGCACUAUUAUUGUUUGUUUUUAUGUGUAUGUAUAAUAUAUACAUUGGACAACUGCUAGAAUCCUGAGCAAAACACAAAGUGUUAUAUAUAUAUAUAUAUACUGAACUUGUUUUUCUCAUUUAUUAUGUUGUUUAUAGAGUACUAUGUUUACAUAUUCUGUUGUGCUGCUGCAAGUACAUAUUUCAUUGUUCUGUCUGGGACAUUUGACAAUAAAACACUCUUGACUCUUGACUACAUUCUUUAAUACCAUGUUGGAGGCCAUCUGCACUGCAGGAUUAUGAUUUUUAUUUCUAUGGAGGAAAGAAAACUGCAGAUGCUAGCAAAAAUGUAUGGCAUGAGGCAGGAGUAAAUCUACCCCAUUUCUGGGCCUAAUGCUGGAAGCACUGUAAUUCUCAUUGGAUUAGGAAGAAUUAUCACAAUGGCACAUUCACUUUUAUCCUGAUGUGGCAAUUGACCUUAUUCACUCAUUACGCCCACUUUGCUUUACUCCAGUUCAUCACUUCUUACAGCCACAUGAGGGAAUGAUCAUUCCUCUGUAAUGGCAGUUAUGCAUUUGGGAGAUAUUAUUCUAGAAGUCUUAGCUAGUUGCAUGUUGGAGAUAAUACACAUUGCAGCUAAAAUUAUUUUUUAGGGUUGAAUAUUAACCACCUUUUAUGUGGGGUGGUUAGUCCUAAAUGAACUUGAGUUUCUUCAGUGUUGGAGCUACCAUUAGCUUAUCACAGGAAAGUGAUAAAAAUAUCAGGAAUGUCACCUGCACUAUCAAGCCUUUGCUGAAAGUUGUCCAGGCUUUGAUAUUAUGAUUACAAUCAAGCUACACGUACUGUCCAACAAUCUGCAGCUGAUGUUCCGUUUGCAUUUUGUCAGAACCACUCAGUUCCAAUCUCAUUACAACGAUUGCCUAAAUGUGGAUUGGAAGAAUUGAAGUUGAGAGCUAAAGUGAGAGUGAUUGUCUUUGACAUCAAAACCUGGCUACGAUUCAGGCAUGCAAUGGCAAGUGGAGAUUAUUUAAUCACAUGGCUGCCCUGUGCCAAGUAGGUGAUGAAAGUGCUUUGUGAGUUAAGGGGUAACUCACUUCCUAUAGGGUUUCAGGUCAUUGACUUGCUGUUAGAACUAUAAUAUUCAAUAUACAAUACUCCAACCUUCUUUCAUGUGGCAUCGAGUCAAGUCAUGGCAGCAACUGUAAUUUUAUAUUUAGAUCCUUAAAACAAGUAAUGGCUCUGGUGAUAGCAGAAAUGCAUCAGCUCAGUUCAUUCAUGUUUGUGGAUUAAGCAAUGAGUCAUAUGUUUUCAUAAAAUAAAAACAGCAAAUGUGGAGAUAUUCAGCAAGCCAGGCAGGGUCUGUGGAAAGAGAAACAGAAAUGUUUUAGAUCAAGGACUUUGUCAACAGUGGAAAAUAGAGCAAAGAGUUGGUAUUAUAAUAUAGAGAAGAUAGGGGAGGGAUGGAUAGGGCAAAUAUAGGGUGAAGCCAGGGCUGUGUUGGGAAUGAGCUGUAGAUUAAGUCAUUUGGUAGAUAGGAUAAUGAAGGCAAAUAGAGAGAGGCAGCGUUAGCAAAGAAAGUUGUGAAAUGAGGGCGGUUAGAGAGAGAGCACAAACAAAUGUGGAAAUUGAAAUGCAGAGCUGAAGGAAAUGCCCUGCAAGUCAAGUGCUAUGGGAGAGGAAAACUAACCAGCAUUACAGAUGGAGACAUGAGAGACUAGAUGCUGGAAUCUUCAGCAGAUAACAAACUGCUGGAGGAACUCAGAAGGUCAUGCACGAUUUUCUAAAGAGGGCUCCUGAUCCAAAACAUUGUCUGUUCAUUAUGUCACACACAUGCUGCCUGACCCAACGUUCCUCUAGAAGUUUGUUUUUAAAUCAGGUUUACAAAUGGAUGAGCCACAGUACGAUUGGUCACUUCUGAAGCAGUGUUCUUUUUCCAUAGUGUAUUCUUAAUCACUGAUUGUACAGUAGGAAUGUUUAUGGUUUCCAUUUCCAUUUAUGCUCCCCAAUUUAUACAUGGUAGCUUCUUGAUAAAUGUACCCUUAUUUUAAUGUUGCCAAUUAUCUGUUUUGAAUGUGUUGAAGGCAUUGUGAAGUUAAGAACCACAUGGGUUAGAGUGGGGGGCUUACCUCAAGCUCCUGCAUCAGGUCAACCUUGGAAUGGUUUUGGUGCUUGUACUAUCAAGAUAGGAAGCAAUCUUCAGAGGCACGUCUUUCAUGGACAUUCAUUUCAUGAGGUCUUCACUGUCUUCUUCCUUUGCAUUAUUACUCCACAUAGUGUAAAAAGCUGGGACUGAUGACUGCGUAAAGAGCUUUGUGUGUGUUGCUGUUGUUCUUCUUCAAUUGGAAUCCUCCAGCUGCAUCCAGAUGACAGUGUUUGUCUCAACCCUUUCCAUAACACAAAAGAAAAUCCCACAUCCUUCUAUUACAUGGCAUUGAUCUGAUGCCUCCCCAUUCCAUACAAGUUGAAAACCCAUUUGCUUUCCAAUUACCCCAAAUAUUUCCAACAAAAAUUUAGCGUCAAGAAGCAAAUUUUGUGUUUGUCCAAAGAAUGGAACAGAAUAUGGGUCUUCAAAAAUUCUUCAAAAUUGAGAGAAGAUCAAACAAGUUUUGAGAUGUUAAUAAAUAGGGAAGGAAAAAUUAGAUCGCAAAGAAAGGUCUCCGAAAGGCUGGAGGGAAAGAGAGAUUAAAUGACACAUUGUUGAUAGUUUAGGGGAAAAACAUAGGAUGAUAGAGGCAACUGUGAAUAAUAAAAAAUAGGUCAGGAGACGGUGUGAAACAGAUUAUUAGUAAUUCAAUAAGAUUUCCAGCAGCAAUAUAAAAAGUAAUGACUGCUGGAAAUAGUAGAUUCGAACGCUAAAUUACUAAUUAUAUGAAAUUGUUCCAUCUCAGUGGAAUCUAGAACCUGUAAUACGUGCAUUCUUCUGCAAUCCCAGAUCUUGACUCUCUUUUCUACACUUGAUGUGUACUGAUAUUUAGCUUCAGCAGAGGCUGAGACAGACUACUCAGAACUGUGCUAUGAUAGCUGAGAUGAUCAUAAGAAUUUAACAAGUUCUUAAUAAGAUGAAUUUAACAAAGCCAUGGUGGGUUCCAAGGACAGCUUCACCGGCACUGGUGUCAAGGCAGAUUUUACCAUGAAAAAUCAGCACACUAACCAGCCUGUGGAAAAAUAACUGAGGCAGGGAACAACUAUUGUUAAGGGAAUGUACAAUACUUUGGUUAGAGUCCCAUGUCCCCAGUCAACACUUUCCUUUUAUGACUCCCCAACAUUUCCCUACUAGCAACAUUUGCAUUGGGACCAGGUCUUUCAAUGUGUGCUAAUGUUUGUGCUGUACAUCAGAUACAUAUUUACUUACAUAGUAAAUGGUACGCACUGGAGAAUGUAGUAAAACAGAGAGAUCUAGGGGUUCAUGUUCAGAGCUCCCUGAAUGUGGUGACUCAGAUAGAGAGGAUGGUGAAGAAGAUGUUUGGCACGCUUACUUUCAUCCUUCAGGCAUUAAGUACAGAAGUUGGGAUCUCAUGUUGCAACUAUAAAGUCAUUGGUGAGACCACACUUGGAGAAUUGUCUAUGGGUCUGGUCACCCAGCUAUUGGAAGAAUGUCAGUAAGCUGGAAAGAGUGCAAUGGUGAUUUGUGAGGAUGUUACUGGAACUGGUUGGUUUUAGUUAUAAGGAUAGGCUGGAAUUAUUUUUCCUUGUAGUGUAGGAGGCUGAGGGAUGACCUUAUAGAGGCACAUAAAAUAAUGAGGACCGCAUAUAAAGUGCAUGGUGACAGAACAUUUCUCAAGGAUGGGAAAACUAGAAGAUUGAGAUUUCAGGUGAGAGGGGAAAGAUUAAUAGAGAUGUGAGGGGCAACUGUUUAAUACAGAGGGUGGUGGGUAUUUGGCCAGAGGAAGCUGUAGGGGAGGGUACAAUUACAAUGUUUAAAAGAUAUUUGGACAGGUUCGUGGAGUGAAAAGAUUUUGAGGAAAAUAUGCCAAACACAUGCAACUGGAACUAGGUCAGAUAGACAUCUUGUUCAACAUGAAUGAGUUAGGCUGAGGGGCCUGUUUACAUGCUGCAUAUCUCUAAGAAUCUGUGCCGCUGAAGAGGCAGAGUGUUUGAGUGAAGAGCAGGGAAAGUGAGGCCCGAUCCUGGACAAUAUCUCA